GCCUGUGUGGCUCAGUCGGUUGAGCAUCUGACUUCGGCUCAGGGCGUGAUCUCACAGCUCGUGAGUUCAAGCCCCACGUCAGGCU
Molecule: transfer RNA, 85 nt
Filed under: Felis catus (domestic cat)
Lineage: Eukaryota; Metazoa; Chordata; Mammalia; Carnivora; Felidae
Rfam family: tRNA
About the family: Transfer RNA (tRNA) molecules are approximately 80 nucleotides in length. Their secondary structure includes four short double-helical elements and three loops (D, anti-codon, and T loops). Further hydrogen bonds mediate the characteristic L-shaped molecular structure. tRNAs have two regions of fundamental functional importance: the anti-codon, which is responsible for specific mRNA codon recognition, and the 3' end, to which the tRNAs corresponding amino acid is attached (by aminoacyl-tRNA synthetases). tRNAs cope with the degeneracy of the genetic code in two manners: having more than one tRNA (with a specific anti-codon) for a particular amino acid; and 'wobble' base-pairing, i.e. permitting non-standard base-pairing at the 3rd anti-codon position.
Source: Rfam by way of RNAcentral